This is a non-coding RNA of Otolemur garnettii (small-eared galago), 281 nucleotides long. The record is from Rfam. NCBI's taxonomy places the organism in Eukaryota, Metazoa, Chordata, Mammalia, Primates, Galagidae.
GCUUGUCUUUCCACACUAUUUAGGGAAGCUAAGACAGGAGGAUUGCUUGAGUCUAGGAGUUCUGGGCUAUAGUGCGCUAUGCUGAUUGGGUGUCUGCACUAAGUUUGGCAUCAAUAUGGUGAUCCACCAGGAGCGUGGGCCACCAGGUUGCCUAAGGAGGGGUGAACUGGCCCAGGUCAGAAACAGAGCAGGUCAAAAUGCCCAUGCUAAUCAGUAGUGGGAUUGCGCCUGUGAAUAGCACUGCACUCCAGUCUGGGCAACAUAGCAAGACCCCAUCUCUA